Molecule: ribosomal RNA, 253 nt
Filed under: uncultured bacterium
Lineage: Bacteria
Description: partial 16S ribosomal RNA
Rfam family: Bacterial small subunit ribosomal RNA
Source: RNAcentral
UACGUAGGGGGCAAGCGUUGUCCGGAAUCAUUGGGCGUAAAGAGCGUGUAGGCGGCUCGGUAAGUCCGCUGUGAAAGUCCAGGGCUCAACCCUGGAAUGCCGGUGGAAACUGUCGAGCUAGAGUCCGGAAGAGGCGAGUGGAAUUCCUGGUGUAGCGGUGAAAUGCGCAGAUAUCAGGAGGAACACCGGUGGCGAAGGCGGGUCUCUGGACCGAUACUGACGCUGAGGAGCGAAAGCGUGGGGAGCGAACAGG